UUUGAUCCUGGGUUCCAGGACGAACCGCUGGGGGCAUGCCUAAUACAAGCAAGUUCAACGUUGAAGCACUCUGCUUGCAGAGUGCGGAUGAGUGGCGAACGGGUGAGUAACACGUGGGAAUUCUGCCUAGGAGUGGGGGAUGACAUUCGGAAACGGAUGCUAAUACCGCAUAUCUUCAUAGACCGCAUGGUCUAUGAAUGAAAGACGGCUUUGCUGUCGCUCUUAGAUGAUCCCGCGGCGUAUUAGUUAGUUGGUGGGGUAAAGGCCUACCAAGACAAUGAUACGUAGCCGACCUGAGAGGGUGAUCGGCCACACUGGGACUGAGACACGGCCCAGACUCCUACGGGAGGCAGCAGUAGGGAAUCUUCCACAAUGGGUGCAAACCUGAUGGAGCAAUGCCGCGUGAAUGAAGAAGGUCUUCGGAUCGUAAAGUUCUGUUAUUAGAGAAGAACAAGUCAAGGAGUAACUGUCUUGACUUUGACGGUACCUAACCAGAAAGUCACGGCUAACUACGUGCCAGCAGCCGCGGUAAUACGUAGGUGACAAGCGUUGUCCGGAAUUAUUGGGCGUAAAGGGAGCGCAGGCGGUUGGAAUAGUCUGAUGUGAAAGCCCACGGCUUAACCGUGGAAGGUCAUUGGAAACUGUCCAACUUGAAUACAGAAGAGGUAAGUGGAAUUCCAAGUGUAGCGGUGAAAUGCGUAGAUAUUUGGAGGAACACCAGUGGCGAAGGCGACUUACUGGUCUGUAAUUGACGCUGAGGCUCGAAAGCGUGGGUAGCAAACAGGAUUAGAUACCCUGGUAGUCCACGCCGUAAACGAUGAGUGCUAAGUGUUGGAGGGUUUCCGCCCUUCAGUGCUGGAGUUAACG
This 867-nucleotide ribosomal RNA is filed under the name uncultured bacterium. RNAcentral's name for it is "bacterial SSU rRNA". It matches the Rfam family "Bacterial small subunit ribosomal RNA", at positions 12 to 857 of the family's 1533-position model. The record is from RNAcentral.